CACAAUACAAACACGCUCACAAACGAUUAAAAGGCGCAUGACAAAAUUUAAGAACUCACACAGGAGAGAAGCAGAGUUGUGAAAAUCAUGUGGCUGAACCAAUCCUCUUCAAUUCCUGUCAAGAAAAAUAAAAAAAAUGUCAAGAAAGGAAUAAAAUACUGAUGAACCCUAAUUUCCUUUCCUCAUUAAAGCACACUUUUUUUUGGCACUGGAAGGAUUUGCAUCCAAGGUUCGGUGGAUGCAGCCUAUGAUUCUUACUAACAAUAACAUUGGCGUCGGAUUAUGUUGCUCCCAUCGGCGACGAAACAGUUCUCGCUGGCGAAGUCUUCAACGUUCCACGACGUGCAAACACGAAAAGGGUUUCCGUGAAAUCAUGUGCGGCUGCUUCCAUUGUUUGUGUUGAGUUCUUCCAGGUCGUGAAUGAGACAUUGUACAAAACAAUCACUAUAACAUGAAGGCCUUGGUUAAUUGAAUGGUUGAUGAUGAUUAUUUUCCAGAUGUGAUGCUAAGUGUUUUGACUAAGCUUUGCAGAGAGUUUCAGUGGAGAGUGACUCGGUGGUCACUGAUGUUCUUGCUUGCGAUGGUGUUGAGUGUGGCUUCGGCCGCAUGAUCGUCGAGCUUUGAGGAGUCGGACCAAAUCUGUUCGGAUCUUAAUCUGCUCUGCAAAUCUGUUUGGACCUCUAUGCCUUUUCAUGUAUUCCAGAAGAAAGAUUAUGCAUUCCCCGGGGUUCAACUUUAUGCAUUGCACUGGGUACAACUUUUCUGUCUCUCUAGCUAAUCUAAUUGCUCCUCUUAAUAAUGAUUGAUUGGGUUAGUUAUUCCUUGCUUUUUGUAUACUUUUAAGCUCAUUAGCAAAGUUUGAAGCGAUAUUUUUUAUAAUUGAACCAGUUGAAUUUUUAUCAGAUAAAUAUUGAGUGUGUGCAAUCUCUUAUUUGAGCCAGUGAUUAACCUGCAGAAAUUAAAGACUAUUAUUUUAGGCAUAGCCAUACA
Molecule: long non-coding RNA, 990 nt
Organism: Lotus japonicus
Lineage: Eukaryota; Viridiplantae; Streptophyta; Magnoliopsida; Fabales; Fabaceae
Exons: 3
Source: RefSeq, a predicted model, not a curated record